ACGAUUGGCGUACAGAUACAGACAGAGGUGGGUCGACAGACAGUGUUUUAAGAAGAUAACAGAGGUUAGGGGGCGUACAGAUCAGAGAGGGAGAGGUGAAAACUUACCACACAGCGAAGGGGAGAUGUUCACGCAGAGAGGUGGGUCGACAGACAGUGUUACAGUGCACGCAGAGACACAGAAUGCAGAUAUAUUUCUGCCUGCUGUUACGGUGCCAUUACUAUUACAAUCUCCGAAAUGGGCUUUCGCCCCGCUUUAUAGAUAAAGCAUAAGUCCAUACAACCACAUCUCAGGUACAGUCAGUAAGAAAGGAGAAAACGCUAGGGCCACAGCACAAAGAAGCCCAAAAGAAAGGAAAAAACAAAGGCCUCCAGGGGCAAGCUAAGUAGCAGACGAGCGGUCGGAGAGCCGGCGCGCAGAAGACACCAGGGCGUCCAAGAGAAGCUGAAGACGAUCACGAUCCCUCGGCCUAGCGAGCGGAUGGCAGUGCUGCAGGAAGGCAAGAAAUUUGAAGAACGAGUCAAAAGCACGCCGCGGGAACACCCGCUCAAUCACCAUCUUAUUGCGGGUAGUCCAGAGAGUCCACAUCAUAGCCGCGAAGAUAAACCAGAACAGUCGGCGCUUACGGCCAACCUGGGUGGCCCUAACCUGCAGAAACCCUGCGAGGUCAGUGGCCUCCCACUCCGGCCCAAGAGCCUCACGAACAAAGCACCAAAGUGCCUGCGCUGCUAUGCACGAGAAAAGAAUGUGUGUUCCCGUUUCCGGGACAUGGCACAAAGGGCACAGUCCAUUGCCCGGACCAUGGCGCUUCAGCACCUCGGUCCCUGAAGGGAGACGAUCUCGAAGAAGCUACCAAACAAAAAUCUUGAUCUUCAAAGGUAGCGGUGCCUUCCACAAUGGGGAUAGCCACGGUAGAAUCGGCAGCCUACAUAAUGCCUGAUAAGCCGAACUAACGGAGAAAUCGCCCGAAGGCGAAAGGCUCCACGACACCGAAUCAAGGUCCAGGGACAGAGGAAGAGGGACUACUUCCCUCAGGUCUGCCCAUUCCCUGACCUCAGCAGGUCCGAAGGAGCGGCGGAACGCAAUGUUCCAUCCGUCCUCCAGAGCCGCCUCAGAGACUAGAAUGCCCGGGUCCGCACAGAUCGCAAAGAGACGCGGGAACCGUAGGCGGAGAAGCUCGCCCUGAAGCCAGGGGUCCAACCAAAAUUGGGUCCCUGACCCAUUGCCAACCGAGAAGCGCACACCCAACCUAAUCUCUUCCUUGAUGGCCUGAAUAGAUUUCCAGAAUUGAGAACCAGCCGACUGAGAACACGCCAAGAGGGGCUGGCCCUGCAAGUAUUUGGCCUCAACCAGCUGCAACCACAGCCCCCCAUCUCCCCGCAAGAUCCGCCAAACCCAACAUAGCAUGAGCGCCACGUUCAUCCGGCGGGAUGCGGGUAUGCCCAACCCACCUCGGUCCUUAGGCAUACAGAUGUCAGCCCACUUGACCAUGUGGUACUUGGGCCGACCGUCCCCUGCCUGCCAAAAGAACCUAGCCAGCUCCUUGUCGAAGGAGCUAUGUACACCUUCAGGUAAGAUGUACAUCCCCAUCAUAUACAUGGGGAGGCUGGCAAGGUUAGAGCUAAUGAGGAUAGUUUUGCUGCCCUUAGAGGUGAACCUACCGCACCAGGGCUCCGCACGGGACGCUACUCGCCCCACUAGCGGAUCGUACCCACUCACUGUAAUACUGGACUCGGCCAGGGGUAUCCCCAAGUAAGAUAUGGGGAAUGACGCCAACCUACAGUUGAGAUUAUCUGCGAUCCGAAGCUGCUCAGCCUCAGAAUAGCCAAGUACCACCACCUCGCUCUUAUCAAAGUUAAUCUUAAGUCCAGACAUUUCCUCAAAGCAGAGCAAAAGGAACUUAAGAUUAACAAUGUCAGAGUCCGAACCUUCCACCAUAAUCAUGGUGUCGUCCGCAUACUGCAGNNNNNNNNNNNNNNNNNNNNNNNNNNNNNNNNNNNNNNNNNNNNNNNNNNNNNNNNNNNNNNNNNNNNNNNNNNNNNNNNNNNNNNNNNNNNNNNNNNNNNNNNNNNNNNNNNNNNNNNNNNNNNNNNNNNNNNNNNNNNNNNNNNNNNNNNNNNNNNNNNNNNNNNNNNNNNNNNNNNNNNNNNNNNNNNNNNNNNNNNNNNNNNNNNNNNNNNNNNNNCACCCUUAAGGUGGUCGGCCAACUUGGCCUUAUCUAAGAUGCCCGCAAGGGCAUCAACUGCGAGAUUGAAAAGCAAGGGAGAAACAGGGUCCCCUUGCUUUACUCCUCUGGAUGCCUGGAAAAAGGGUCCCACCUCACCAUUAAUGUUGAUCGCAGUGUUCCCAGAUCUAACCAGUUGCAUGAUCCAGGAACACCACCUCACGUCGAAGCCUCGUCGCUCCAUCACCAACCUCAAAAAGGACCAAUCCAGACGAUCAUACGCCUUCUGGAAGUCCAAUUUGAGGAAAACCCCCUUGAGCCCCUUCGACGCCACCUCGUGAACGAUCUCGUGAAGGGCAAGCAUUCCAUCAUGGAUCCGCCGGCCCUUCAGGAAGGCGGACUGAAGGGGGUGAGCAAUCCUUUCCGCCACCGGUGAUAAACGAGUGGCACAAACCUUUGCAAAGAUUCGCUCCAACACGUUGAUCACCGUGAUCGGUCGGAAUUGGCGGAUAUCCGUCGCCCCAACUACUUUGGGGAUCAGGGAUAUGACACCGAAGUUAAUCCUAGCCAUGUCCAAGGUUCCAAUAUAAAACUCGUGGAACAUGGGCAUAAUGAUCGGGCGCAAGAUCUCCCAGAAUUUCUGAAAGAAGACUACCGGAAGGCCAUCCAGCCCCGGGGCUGAGCAGGCUUUCAUAGAAGCAAUCACCCGUCCCACCUCCUUAGGAGAGAAAGGGAGAGUAAGCUCCGCAUUCUCCGCAUCAGAGACCUGCUCUGCAGGCGGCCAGAAGUCAGCACAGAGGGAGACGCCUCCACGCGGCUCAGCCGAGAACAACUCCUUAUAAAAGGAGUAAAUAUGGGUGGAGAUGUCCUCUGGGCUUUCCAGAAGGACAUCCCCAUCCCAGAGAAAAGGGAUAGCACACUUUCGCCUGCGGCCAUUAGCAAUCGCCUGAAAAUAGGCAGUGUUCGCAUCCCCCUUAAGGAGCUAGUUCCAGCCCCCACGCCGCUGCCAGAAGAGCUCCUCGCUCUUGUAGAUGUCCAUGAGCGAGGCCUCGAGGCCGUAUCUCCUAAGCCAGUCGUCAGGAGACAGGCCCUGCCUAUCAGCAAGGUCAUCCAAAACCUUAAUCUGAUCCAGCAGGGUCCCCUUACGGGAUCGCAGCUCAGCACCAAGGUUCGCCCCCCAUCCCUUCAUGGCCUGACGAGACAAUUUAGCACGGUGAUGCCACACAUCCACAACACAAAACACACGGGGCGGGGACGCGACCGCCUCUAGCCAGCGGUCGCGCACCAACUCAAAGAAGCUCGGCUGCUCCAGCCAAAAAGUCUCAAAGCGGAAACGGCGGGUCCUAGGGGGAGACACAUCGCCCGACGAGAAAAGCAGGGGGGUAUGGUCGGAGCCAAUCCGAGUGACCGCCUUGAGAGAGCACAAUGGGAACAUCACUUCCCACUGAGCCGACACAAAUACCUGAUCCAAAACACUCCGGAUGGGGUCCGCCUGCUUAUUCGUCCACGUGAACCUAGCCCCUACGCGGGCUAUCUCACGGAGCGCAAGGUCCGCAAUGCAGUCGUUAAAUAGACGCAUGCGGACCCGAUCAACAUUAGGCGAGCUUUUAUCAGAAGCCCAUCUAAUGAGGUUGAAGUCCCCGGCCACCACGACCGGGGUGGUGCACCUCUCUACCUUAUUUUUAAGCUCAGCGAGGAAUACGGCAGAGCGAGCAUGCUCCGCAGGACCAUAAACAAAAAUCACCUCCCAACUGAAGUGAACUCGUCGGUCAGUGACAGACAUGCUCAGGAAGAACUCCCCUCGGUUCAUAUCGUCGACCGAGAAAGCAUCCUCCCUGACCCCGAGCAAGAUGCCUCCAGAUUGACCCAUAGCGGGCAGCCACUGCCAGGCAAACUGGUGGCGGGAGAGCCCCUGGAGCUCAUGCAUACUAAAGUCCUGACGAAUCGUCUCCUGAAGUCCCACAAUGUCAAUCUCUUCCUGUCGCAAAUAUUCGAUGAGCUGCCGCUGCCGGCCAGAGAGGCCGAAGCCCCUAAUGUUCCAACGUAGGAGCUUCAUUUAAUAACCUCAGUGGAAUCCCUAGGCCCCGCAAGCGGGGCCAAGCUAGCCCGCCCAUCAAUCGCGGGUCGGGGGGAUGCCUUCACUGAGCGUCCACGUCGCCCCCGCGUAGGGGGGGCGGUGGAAGCCUCCGGCCCGAGGGAAGCGGACCUGGAACUAGACCCACACACCUCUAUCCGGUGUUCAGUGGGGUUGAGACGUGUGGGGGGCGCCCUCGCAAAGCCCUCACCGAGGGGGGAACUGCAAGGGGCGUCUCUGCCCCAGUCUCCAUAGGGGGCGCCUCACCAGCCCUGGUCUCUCUAUGACCAGGGUCAGUGUGCACCGGGGUGCUGGGUUCACCACGCGCAGCACAAGCACGGGCUUCAGCCAACGCCCCAUCGAGCCUCUCCUUGGCGCAAAUAGCAGAAAUCUGCUCAAGAAUGGGCCCCUUCUCGCCACGAAACACAAUGCCACUAUCGGUGGCCACCUCUGCCAGGUGAGACAACGGAGCGAAACCAAGCACAGAAAACCAAGAACCAGAACUAGAAGGAACAGAGGGGAUGGAUGGGGUACCUGAGGACAGGUCGCGAGCUGCAGCCCACAUGGCGGCCUUCUCCGAGAUCGUCGGGACACGGCCAUCCAGGAUGACCCAGGACUGGCUGAGCCUCGCACUCUGACGCGCAGCCACCAGGGGAGAGGACCCACCCCAAAGCUUGGAGCUGGCCGCGGUAGGGGUCACAGCGGCCAGGUCCAAGGGCGGAGGCGGCUCCAGGUCCGGGGCCCCCAAGGCAAGGGAAGGGGGGGACCCCGGCGAACGCGAGUAGCAGACCACCCCUGGCGAGCGCGGCGACGACGAGGGGCGCACCUCCAUCCCCACACUCACCACGUCCUUCUCCACGACCUCUAGGUCAGCCACCUGGGUCGCAACAGGGGGAGGGACGGCCACAGCCACAAACCCACCCCCUGACGCCACCUGAGAGGCCGUUCCAGCAGGACCGGAAGAACCACCAACAAUAGAAACCGGGCUACGCCGCCUAGCAGACGGAGCCGGCGGAAUCACAUCAUCAUCAUCAUCCCCCUCACAAGAAGAGCUCCCAUCGGACGAGCCCCCACCCCCACCCCGCCCUUCAUCCAAGCGCGGCACAGUGGCUGCGGGGGCCGGCCCAAGCAGAUCCUCAGGAACCGGAGACUCGAGCUCGAAGGUCAGGCGCUUCCCCUUAGUGCCGAAGUAGAAGACCAGAGACAGACCGUCAAUCUCUGCCGGAGCGGGGCACAGGAUCUCAAUGCGGGCUGGGCCAUCAUCCUCAAAAGACGCCAAGUCGGCGGUCACCAGCUUGCCCACCGGCUCAGAGAUCGCCUUGAGAAUGUGCGCAAGCUUGCCACCCCGCGGUGCUGACCUGCCACCUCAAGGCAAGCCGUAGACAAGAACCCACACCCUCUCCAGAGGAGGCACAUGAUCAGGCUCCGCAGCAGCUGCACGAACGGAGAUCAGGAGCUUGUUGAUGGGACACCGGAUGACAUCGUGGGAACACACACGAAGCAGCUCAGCAGAGGGGAAGGGGAUCGAGAAGACGAGGGGAGUCGUCUCAGUCACCUCCCAAGUGAAGUCGGAGUCGCGGAAGUCGCCGAUGUAUGCGACGAGCUUGGCCUGGAUGAGGGCGGCCGAGAUCACCACCCCAGACGGCAAGUCCUGCUCGGGGGCAAGAGUGACCGUCGCCAAGAGCGGCCUAACCGCCUCCUCCUCAAUCUCAGCAUCCACAUAGUAGAAACCACCCCCUCAGUCCCGUACCCAAGGUAAGCAAGGGUCGUGGGGCAUCGGGGAGGGGCCUCACACUCUGAGCGGAAAUGCCCCGCACAGCCACAGUUGAUGCACAUCGUUUCCUUGCGAGUCCUGGGACGGCCAACUCGCGGGGUCUGCUCAGGAGCCACUAGCUCCGAAGCACCAGCCGGAGCGGGACACGCGGCCACCCCAGGGGUCUUCUUCUUCUUGUGCUUCUUCUUCUUCUUUGACUGAACAGCGGCACUGGGCGCCUCAACAGAGCAGCGAGCAGGAGAGGCCCUCGCGGUCACAGAGUCACCCCUCCUCCCUGACUGGCCGCCGUCCCGGUCAGAGCGGCGAUCCACCCGGCGCCCAGGAUCGGGGGAGCGGGAAUCACGAGCCGAGAUAGCCCGGCGCUCACGAGAUGCACGGGCAGAGUCAUCCGCAGGCCGCCCACGACGCCAAUCGCCAUCCGACGCCCGCGGAGAAGGCACCUGCGGUGCCGGCCGCCCCGGCUCCAGAACAGCCCGCGCCCGGUCGGCGGCGGGGGGCCGGGUCUGCAGCUCCGCCAGCAGAUCUGCCUCGCGAGCAAGGUCCUCAUCACGGCGAUGCCCAUCAUCACCAUUGGCGCGACGGCGAGCAGCAUCCUGGCGUCGCAGGUCGCCCGGGGACCCCGGCAGCGGCAGUCGGGCAUCCCGAGAUGGGUCGCAGGGGGGGAGGGUGGCGCAGAGAAGUUCCGGCGUAGGUCGCCGAGGCCCGAGCCGGCCGGACGUUGGAGCGCGAGGAGGACGCCUGGUCCAGAGGCCUCUUCGGCCGCGGCAAUCCGUCGCCGGCAUCCCUGGUCACGAGGGCCUCCAGGUAGGACCGGGGGCGGGGCGGGGGGAUGGGGAGCGACGACCGCGGCGAGGAUGAAGACGGGCCGGUGGAGAAGACCAAGGCGGCCGGAACGGCGGGAGCGCAGGGGGAAGGCGGCGGCUGCGAGGUAACAGGGAGGAGGAGACAAGCGCACCGUCCAGCCCUAGCGACAUCUAAACGGGUCGCAGGCCAUCUGUGCGACACGUCUCCAGCGCCACGCUGGAUCCACACCCAACGGGCCGGGUCCGCGUGGGACAGCAACCAGGCCCGGUUGGCCCGGUCAAUAACGGCCUGGGACUGGACAGCCGCGCAGCGGGCCACCGGGUCAGCCCAGAUGGCCCUCCGUGAGGAACCAGGCCCAGAACGGCGCAGGCCCUCCCACGCUCCCCCGGGCCGGCCCACCAUGCGAGCGCUAGCUGGCCCACGUAGGAGCACGGCCCGAUCCGGACCCGACCAGGGGGCAAACCCCUCCCGCAGCGCCGCCGGCGCCAUCGCCGGAGCGGCCUUCCCGGACCCCGCACCAGACCCGGCAGAGCUACCAGGCUCCGCCAGGACCAGGCGACGGUCGGAGACGGCGGCCACCGCGACCACAGGAACCGGCAGAUCCGCACGGGACGCCGGCCCAGAUAGGGGCGGGCGAGCCACGGGACGCGCCGGCGGCGGCCGCAAGGGGCGGGGACGGCCGGAGAGGCGACGAGGACUGACGCGCGCGGGCCGGGCCGCCACCCAGAAGUCUCCGAAGAGCGGCGGAGCCAGCUUCACCGGACGCUCGACCGGUCCGACGUCCAUGGCCUCCUCAUCCGCGAGAUCCACCCAGGAGAACGCCGACGACGCGAAGGACAGGGACGGCCCCUGGGGAGCAACCAACUCCGGGUGUGGCGCAGCCGAGACCGCCGACCCGCCGGCCGCCGGGGCGGCGCCGGCGAGGUUAGCCAUGGGCGGCCCGACGGCGAAGUUUGAAUCGCCAAGCGGACAUGAGCGCUCCACCGAAGUAAGAAUGUUCGAGGAUGUGUAUCCUAGCAUGGGAACAGAGGUGCCGCAACCGUAGCGUAGUCUUACUAUUACAAUCUGGAGCCGUGAGUGCGGUGCGGCCGCAUUUUGGCAUCUUGCUUGCCCCUUGUUUUUUCUUUUCUUUUUUGACUGAGGGUAUUUGCCCAGGCAGCAGCAGCCAGCACCAAACAAGGGCCACUGUACUACAGACUGGACUAGAGAGAGACGAGGAAUCCACGCGCGCCGACCCGG
RNAcentral lists this long non-coding RNA (8055 nucleotides) under Triticum aestivum (bread wheat). RNAcentral's name for it is "long non-coding RNA (TAES_LNC006482)". The record is from RNAcentral. Lineage: Eukaryota; Viridiplantae; Streptophyta; Magnoliopsida; Poales; Poaceae.